RNAcentral lists this ribosomal RNA (433 nucleotides) under uncultured bacterium. RNAcentral describes it as "partial 16S ribosomal RNA". It matches the Rfam family "Bacterial small subunit ribosomal RNA", at positions 29 to 507 of the family's 1533-position model. The record is from RNAcentral.
AACGAACGCUGGCGGCAUGCCUAACACAUGCAAGUCGAACGAGACCUUCGGGUCUAGUGGCGCACGGGUGCGUAACGCGUGGGAAUCUGCCCUUCGGUUGGGAAUAACUGAGAGAAAUUUCAGCUAAUACCUUAUAAUGUCUUCGGACCAAAGAUUUAUCGCCGAGGGAUGAGCCCGCGUAGGAUUAGGUCGUUGGUGGGGUAAUGGCCUACCAAGCCGACGGGCCUUAGCUGGUCGGAGAGAAUGAUCAGCCACACUGGGACUGAGACACGGCCCAGACUCCUACGGGAGGCAGCAGGUGGGAAUAUUGGAAAAUGGGCGAAAGCCUGAUCCAGCAAUGCCGCGUGAGUGAUGAAGGCCUUAGGGUUGUAAAGCUCUUUUACCCGGGAUGAUAAUGACAGUACCGGGAGAAUAAGCUCCGGCUAACACCGUG